CAAACCAAAGCUGGCGACCGGCGCACGGGUGAGUAACACGUAUCCAACCUGCCUCAUACUCGGGGAUAGCCUUUCGAAAGAAAGAUUAAUAUCCGAUAGCAUAUAUUUCCCGCAUGGGUUUUAUAUUAAAGAAAUUCGGUAUGAGAUGGGGAUGCGUUCCAUUAGUUUGUUGGGGGGGUAACGGCCCACCAAGCUCGAUGGAUAGGGGUUCUGAGAGGAAGGUCCCCCACAUUGGAACUGAGACACGGUCCAA
Molecule: ribosomal RNA, 253 nt
Filed under: uncultured bacterium
Lineage: Bacteria
Description: partial 16S ribosomal RNA
Rfam family: Bacterial small subunit ribosomal RNA
Source: RNAcentral